Cyanistes caeruleus (blue tit) is the source of this 399-nucleotide long non-coding RNA. RefSeq lists it as uncharacterized. Lineage: Eukaryota; Metazoa; Chordata; Aves; Passeriformes; Paridae. The record is from RefSeq and is a predicted model, not a curated record.
CUCCCGUUGCCAGGCGACGCGAGCAGCGUUUCCCAAACCAAACAUCCCCAUCCCGCUCCCGCCUCACGAAAUAUGUCAGCGGGUAUUUUCAGGAGCCCGGGGAAGGCAGGAUGGACAAAUAACGCCUUUGCCAUGGAACUGCCCUGCACGAGAAGAGUAAACCCAGAAAUAUUCUAAAGGAGGCAAAUAAUCUUUUGCUGGAGAUGUUCAGAGCAGCAUUCAACAGAGAGCAGCUACUUAUGGAAGCAACUUAAAAAUAACAACUGGAAAUGAAAAAGUCAGAAUUUGAAGAGUCUCCCUGGCAAAGGGAUAACACAGACAGCACCUGCAGCUCUCUGAGGUGAUCUGAGAGCAUUUACCCUCAUUAAUAAAAAAGUCAAUCAAACCAAGCUCAUUCAA